This is an RNA transcript of Carlito syrichta (Philippine tarsier), 951 nucleotides long. It is a transcript of the gene named translin-associated protein X pseudogene, with no coding region annotated. The transcript has a single exon. Lineage: Eukaryota; Metazoa; Chordata; Mammalia; Primates; Tarsiidae. The record is from RefSeq and is a predicted model, not a curated record.
UGUUGGCGCCGUCUCAGGAGACAUCCUUCUGGCUGUUUCCCGUGCCUUUCAAUUACUACAGGACUGCAGGAAUAUGUGGAAGCUGUCUCUUCAACACUUCAUCAAAACACGAUCAAUAAUCAGCAUGGAUGAAAUUAAUAAGCAGUUGAUAUUUACAACAGAAGACAGUGGGAAAGAAAAUAAGACCCCCUCCUCUGAUGCACAGGAUAAGCAAUUUGGUACUUGGAGACUGAAAGUCACACCUGUUGAUUAUCUUCUGGGAGUGGCUGAUUUAACUGGAGAGUUGAUGCGUAUGUGUAUUAACAGUGUGGGGAAUGGGGAUAUCAACACCCCCUUUGAAGUGAGCCAGUUUUCAUGUCAGGUUUAUGAUGGGUUUUCAUUCAUUGGCAACACUGGACCGUACGAGGUUUCUAAGAAGUUGUAUACCUUGAAACAAAGUCUGGCCAAAGUGGAGAAUGCUUUUUAUGCCUUGAAAGUCAGAGGUUCAGAAAUUCCAAGACAUAUGCUAGCAGAUGUAUUUUCAGUUAAAACAGAGAUGAUUGAUCAAGAAGAAGGCAUUUCUUAGAAUCACAUUACUGUUGUUAUUCUCUUGAGAACUCCUAAGAAAGACCAAUUUUUAAGACUGUUAUCUAGUAUUUCGUUUGACUUUAUUGUGGCUUUUACAUAGAAACAUUUUUAGUUGUACUUGUUUUAAAUUGUAUACAAGCUGUACAUAAAAUUAUCCAAACGAAUCAUUUCUUAUAUCUUAGUCAUGAAAGUUUGUGUACAAAUGUUUGCAUAUAUGCCUGUUUGCAUUUUUGCUGGUUAACCUUCUUCAUUUAUCUUUGCAAUGUGAACAUGUUUUAGAGUGCACUUUCCGCCAUGCCUAUUUUAAUUUACUUUGUAUGAAUUUUGGAAUGGUAAUUUUUAGUGGAAGCCAUUUGUAAUUUAAGUUGGCGAUUUAUUGUAUAU